CUCUCUUGGUGUGUUAGUUUUAUCGGUCAGCUCGUGCUGAGGCAGCGCGAACUUAUGGUAAAUGGUUAUUUACAUCUCCCUUUUCCAGUAUCAUUAAGAUGCAGAAAAGAAAGAGGCAGGAGAAGAUUGACACCUUUUUCAAGAGAAAUCCUGAGAGGAAGUUGCUGGAGGCAUCAGUUUCAGAGAGAGCACAGGAAGGUUCACAGGUGAGCAAUGAAAUGAAUGUUACAGUUUGUGAAAGAGGUCUAUGAAGGAAGAGAGGCCAUGUGUGUGUGUUUGUGUCAUGGGUGGUGCUUAUUUCCAUCCCAGGUGCACGCGUGUGUCUGGUGUGUUUAUAUCAAAUUCACA
Long non-coding RNA from Sinocyclocheilus grahami, 348 nucleotides. RefSeq lists it as uncharacterized. The record is from RefSeq and is a predicted model, not a curated record. The transcript has 3 exons. Lineage: Eukaryota; Metazoa; Chordata; Actinopteri; Cypriniformes; Cyprinidae.